GGACUACUAGGGUUUCUAAUCCCAUUCGCUACCCUGGCUUUCGUGUGUGAGCGUCAGAUUCGGGCCAGUGCGCUGCCUUCGCCUUCGGUGUUCCCCAUGAUAUCAACGGAUUUCACCCCUACACCAUGAGUUCCACGCACCUCUCCCGACCUCAAGUCAUGCCGUUUCGCUCGCAGGCUGGAGGUUGAGCCCCCAGAUUUAACGAACGACUAACAUGACCGCCUUGACACCCUUUACGCCCAGUGAUUCCGGAUAAUGCUUGGGGCCUCUGUAUUACCGCGGCUGCUG
RNAcentral lists this unclassified non-coding RNA (288 nucleotides) under uncultured fungus. Its description in RNAcentral is "sequence contains ITS1". Lineage: Eukaryota; Fungi. The record is from RNAcentral.